GUUGUCGCUUCGACGGUACACUGCAUAUACUAAAACUGUAACGAUACAUAGGAGUUUAGCAUGGCUCCAGCGGUAGGAUGACACGCAAAAUCGUGCAGCGUUUCCCAUUUUC
Small nuclear RNA from Schistocerca americana (American grasshopper), 112 nucleotides. The record is from RefSeq and is a predicted model, not a curated record. NCBI's taxonomy places the organism in Eukaryota, Metazoa, Arthropoda, Insecta, Orthoptera, Acrididae.